GGAGUUAGCCGGUGCUUCUUCUGUGAGUGAUGUCCUUCCUGCCGGCUAUUAACCCGCAGGCCUUCUUCCUCACUGAAAGUGCUUUACAACCCGAAGGCCUUCUUCACACACGCGGCAUGGCUGGAUCAGGGUUGCCCCCAUUGUCCAAUAUUCCCCACUGCUGCCUCCCGUAGGAGUCUGGGCCGUGUCUCAGUCCCAGUGUGGCUGAUCAUCCUCUCAGACCAGCUACGGAUCGUCGCCUUGGUGAGCCGUUACCUCACCAACCAGCUAAUCCGACAUAGGCUCAUCCGAUAGCGCGAGGCCCGAAGGUCCCCCGCUUUCCCCCGUAGGGCGUAUGCGGUAUUAGCCUGGGUUUCCCCAGGUUAUCCCCCACUACCGGGCAGAUUCCUAUGCAUUACUCACCCGUCCGCCGCUCGCCACCAGGGAGCAAGCUCCCCGUGCUGCCGCUCGACUUGCAUGUGUUAGGCCUGCCGCCACGCGUUCAUCUGAGCGAGAUACAACUACUGA
Molecule: ribosomal RNA, 507 nt
Filed under: uncultured bacterium
Lineage: Bacteria
Description: partial 16S ribosomal RNA
Source: RNAcentral